This 301-nucleotide ribosomal RNA is filed under the name uncultured bacterium. Its description in RNAcentral is "partial 16S ribosomal RNA". It matches the Rfam family "Bacterial small subunit ribosomal RNA", at positions 509 to 807 of the family's 1533-position model. The record is from RNAcentral.
CAGCAGCCGCGGGAACACGUAGGGUGCAAGCGUUAAUCGGAAUUACUGGGCGUAAAGCGUGCGCAGGCGGUGUUGUAAGACUGAUGUGAAAUCCCCGGGCUCAACCUGGGAACUGCAUUGGUGACUGCAACGCUGGAGUGCGGCAGAGGGGGAUGGAAUUCCGCGUGUAGCAGUGAAAUGCGUAGAUAUGCGGAGGAACACCGAUGGCGAAGGCAAUCCCCUGGGCCUGCACUGACGCUCAUGCACGAAAGCGUGGGGAGCAAACAGGAUUAGAUACCCCCGUAGUCCCUGUCUCUUAUAC